Molecule: long non-coding RNA, 1731 nt
Organism: Micropterus salmoides (largemouth bass)
Lineage: Eukaryota; Metazoa; Chordata; Actinopteri; Centrarchiformes; Centrarchidae
Exons: 2
Source: RefSeq, a predicted model, not a curated record
CGAUCCCCCUUGUUACAAAUAACUUCCUCUGACAUGUUUGGGCAGGGUGACAAUGUUUUGAGUGAAAACAGCUUUCAGGAUUGGAUGGGAUACAAGCUUUCAACCCCUAGGGUGGGCUACUUCUUCAACUGCUGCUUUAUCCCUCUGAAGAGAGAAAACAAGAGGGGCCAGAGAGAGAAAGACAGACAGAGAGAGUCCAAGCAAGGCUGGGAUUGAGGACUGCACAAGACAGUGACUCGCCAUGAAUAAAAGCAGUUGGGACUCUGUUCUUUGGGGCAAGUCUUCCUGAUCAAGCCCAUCGUAACGCUGGUAUGUUCCCCUCAAUUGCCUAAUCAGAGAGGAUGGUGAAAUCAAUGAGGUGGAUGGAUCCUAACAGGAAUCUGAAAUGAACACCAGCGCCUAGGAUCAAUGAGUCUUCGCCUCUGUAUGUUUGUAUGUGCGAGCGUGAGGCGCUGAAGAUGUUCGACCUUCACCAGGACAGCAGUGCGUUUUGCUUGGGCUGUAAUGGGCCACUUUUGGGAACUGAUAGAGGGGGAGGAAGGGGACGUGAGAAAGGGUGUUAAUUAGAGGCCAAAGGUCUGCGGAAGGAGUCAGCCACCACAAGCCACUUAAAUCAGAGCACAAUCUUUUGAGGCCAAAUCAAUCUAUCUAUUGUAUGUCAGGACAACUGAUCCUGUAUGAUCACUCAUAGCCACCAUGAAGGAUGCAUGAGUUGAAGCGAAUGCAUAUUGAUUUAGUCGACGGCAAUUGUAUUGGAAACCAAAGGCAAUAAAAAACAAACAUUUUGAUGGCGACAGUGGAUGAGGGUAGAAACCGGAUCUGACAGAUAAGAUAAGAUAAGCAAAAGACCAAAGGAAAACCACAUGGAUGAGAGGUGAAGAGAAGAGAGACUCUAGAGUGGCUCGUCACCAUCUCUUCGCCAUCUGGUCCCCAUCCACUCUCCCAUGACUCCAGUGAUGUCACUGAGAGGAGAUGGUACCAAUUAGAAACCAGACUGAAGACAUCUCCGGAACGAGAAAUGGGUCUCUGUAUCAGUAGUCAGUGGGCCACAGGCUUAGAUGGAUAGCACCUUUGCCACCAAGGUCAGGCAUAAACAUGUUUGUAGUUAUGGCUUUUGAUAUUCAGUAUUGAUCCUAUAAUUGUCCAAAAGAAGGGUGCAAAGCAAAUCGUGUCAUCAUUAUUCAACUUUGUAGAUAAUGGCCAUCUGGCUGGGAAAAUCCACCACUUUUUAAAGCUCCUCUGUCACCUCAGGAGCGAGACGAGCAGCGCUGGCUCUCCUCUUAUUUCUUUAUCAGGACCGGAGACGGCUCAAGCGCUUUCCCAGAAUCUGUCAGGGCCCGGUGAGCGCAACGCUUCAUCCAUCACAGGAGCCAGCUUCACAGGCUUUUCAUUUUACUGGGGAGGCCCACUUCUGAGGCCAGGCCCAUUAAGUUUUCACAUUCGUGUCCCAACGCCUGUCAUUUGGCUCACAUCAUCCAAAACACUCUUUCAUUCUUGCUGUUUCUCUCUCUAUAUACCUCAUGUCCCAUUUAUCUUUAUUUCUCAGUUCCUCCCUCUUUGCCCCCCAUUGCUCCAUCACUUUUCUCACUUCUAAUGAGGAGUGAACUCGUUUUGAAAAUUAUGACGUGAUCCUGAGGUCAAAGCUGCAAAUGAAACACACGUUUCGGAGCUCACCCAAGACAGAUUAACAGAGGAUGUACAGAGCUUCCAAAAUAAAGGUGCUUCAGUGUG